Molecule: ribosomal RNA, 721 nt
Filed under: Lutibacter sp.
Lineage: Bacteria; Pseudomonadati; Bacteroidota; Flavobacteriia; Flavobacteriales; Flavobacteriaceae
Description: bacterial SSU rRNA
Rfam family: Bacterial small subunit ribosomal RNA
Source: RNAcentral
GAUGAACGCUAGCGGCAGGCUUAACACAUGCAAGUCGAGGGGUAACAGGGAGAAGCUUGCUUUUCCGCUGACGACCGGCGCACGGGUGCGUAACGCGUAUAGAACCUACCUUUUACAGAGGAAUAGCCCAGAGAAAUUUGGAUUAAUGCCUCAUAGUAUUAUAGAAUGGCAUCAUUUUAUAAUUAAACAUUUAUGGGUAAAAGAUGGCUAUGCGUUCUAUUAGCUAGUUGGUAAGGUAACGGCUUACCAAGGCUACGAUAGAUAGGGGUCCUGAGAGGGAGAUCCCCCACACUGGUACUGAGACACGGACCAGACUCCUACGGGAGGCAGCAGUGAGGAAUAUUGGACAAUGGAGGCAACUCUGAUCCAGCCAUGCCGCGUGCAGGAAGACGGCCCUAUGGGUUGUAAACUGCUUUUAUAUAGGAAGAAACCUUUCCACGUGUGGAAAGCUGACGGUACUAUAAGAAUAAGCACCGGCUAACUCCGUGCCAGCAGCCGCGGUAAUACGGAGGGUGCAAGCGUUAUCCGGAAUCAUUGGGUUUAAAGGGUCCGUAGGCGGACUAAUAAGUCAGGGGUGAAAUCCAACAGCUUAACUGUUGAACUGCCUUUGAUACUGUUAGUCUUGAAUUAUAUGGAAGUAGAUAGAAUGUGUAGUGUAGCGGUGAAAUGCUUAGAGAUUACACAGAAUACCGAUUGCGAAGGCAGUCUACUACGUAUAUAU